GGAAGCCGUGGCCAAAUUUUUUCGCACGCUCAUCCGGAGGAGAUAUUUCUCAGAUAGUUUACCUGCAACAAACACUUGGUCCAUUUCUCCAGUCCCAAAAUCUGUACAGCGUCUUGACGAUACUAUCAGUGACGAGGAACAGUCCUACAGUCGUGCAAGUUUCAGCAGCGAAACAUACAAGUACAACGCACUUCCUCCACUCCCGGCACAGCGUAAUCUUACUCCACCUCCAA
This 233-nucleotide unclassified non-coding RNA is filed under the name Hevea brasiliensis (rubber tree). Lineage: Eukaryota; Viridiplantae; Streptophyta; Magnoliopsida; Malpighiales; Euphorbiaceae. The record is from RNAcentral.